Vicugna pacos (alpaca) is the source of this 1824-nucleotide non-coding RNA. NCBI's taxonomy places the organism in Eukaryota, Metazoa, Chordata, Mammalia, Artiodactyla, Camelidae. The record is from RefSeq and is a predicted model, not a curated record.
GGCUGCCGGCUCUGGCUCCGUGGCUUCUGCUGGGAGGCUCAGGUGCCCCCGUGCCUGAAUCUUCUAGAGUUUUUAGGAAAACAGGUUUUGGAGGAGGAAGUACAUCUGGGGCUGGGCUCUGGGGUCAGACACCCCUGGGUUCAGCCCCAGCCCUACCUCUCGGUGGCUGUGUCCUUGGUGGUACAGCCAGCCCUUUAACCUCGGUUUUCCCGUCUCUGAAGUGGGCAACAACAGUGCCUACAUCCCUUGGUCGUUCCAGGGUCCAGCUCCCUGGCACUGAGCCCAAUCUUUGAGGGAAAGUUGGCCAUGGAGACAAAGCAUCCAGCGUUGGUCUGAGGUCCCAGCUCCUGGCACUGGGCAGUGUGAUUAGGCCAGCUCCCUCGCGAUGGCAGAGUCUCGGCUACUGAGUCCAGACUGUCCCAGAAGAGUUAAUUCUCUCCCUCACUCAGGCCAUCAGAGACCCAGCAGGGGAACCAGCUCAGGACACAUGGUAACACGGAAAUUAAAAUAACAACUAUCAGAGAACCCAGCCCACGAUGGCUUCACAGCAGGGAUUCAUCAUCUUCCAAAGAGAAGUCUGGAGGCUGGCAAUGGCUGCAGUCCAUUCUGGUGCCCAGUGCUUCUGCCAGUGGCCCGGGAUCUGUCUGGCUUUCUUCUCGGCUUUCUUAGAAUGCUGUUCUCCAAGCCCCUUGCCUCUCCCUCUACUGCCGUGCUUGUUGCCACAUGGUCCCAAAGUGGCUGCCACAGCUCCAGGCAAUGCAUUAAUGUCCAUGGCAGAAAAAAUGGUAAAGGAAUAUCACCAGCAAAUGCCCCUUUUAUAUCUGACCUUAUAAUGGGGAAGGAAACCCCAGCCACACCUCUAACCUCCAAGCUCAUGACCAUGCAUUCACUCUUGGUUUCUCUGUUAUAAACAGGUCACCUGUAGCUAAAGGGAGGCUGGGGAAGUGAGUGCCUGGCUUUGUUACCUUUGAAGUGGGAGGUGGGCCAGCAGGAGUGAUUUGGGAGCAGCUACUGGCUGGCUAGUGAAGCCCAGGUCUUCCUGUCUGUGUUCUGACUUCUACUGCUGGAAUUUCCAGUGACAUGUUAUCUGGAGCUGAAUUGCUCUCCAGCGUCUCCCUUGAAGGCUAUUAGACCACGUGCGCAAGAGGAAAUUCAAAAUACCAUGCUUUGAGAUGUCUACCCAGAUUGGACAUGAGGUGGAGGGAUGCAGAUGAGAAACCCAGCAUCAGGGUUUUCUCGGGGCUCGACAAGAAUAGAGCAAUUAGUUACAAGGAAACUUCUGAAGGAGUCUUCGGUGGAAAGCCUUCGCUCUCCUAGAAUAUUUCCCUCCAGACAGGUGACCUUGUAAGAAGAGGACAGAGACCCACAUAGAGGGGCAGCCACAUGAGGACCCAGGGGAAAGGUGGUCUCUGCAAGGUAAGGGGAGAGGCCUCAGGAGAAACUCACUCUCAGAUAUGUUGACCUUGGGUGUCCAGCCUUCAGAACCACAAGAGGUAAAUCUCUGUUGUUUAAUCUGUGGUGCUGGGUUCUGCAGCCUGAGCUGACUGGUGCAAGGAGGAAGACAUCCCAGCAGCCAGGGCCCUCCUCCUGACCCCUUGUGGUUUCCUUGUAUCCUGUUGUUCAAGUGCAGGAGGUCCCAGGCCUCAGCCUGCUUAAAAGGCUAAAAGCAUUUAUCAACCUGACCUUAAACUGCACAAGUUUUUCUCUAGAUCUCUUUUCCAUGGAGCCCCUUCCUAAGCACACUUUGUUAUAGGAACAGGAAUAUUAAGAAAGUCCCAAAGCUGGAGAUGAACUUCAUACCCAGCAAGGGGAAGGGGACAUUGC